CCGGCUCUGCUCCGCCUCCAGCGAAGGCCCCUGCCAAAGACCCCCGCGCCGGCCGCCGCCAAUAUCAAUGAAGGUGAGGUCAUGCCGUUCGGGGUUUCUGAAGAUUCCGGUCACGCCUUACUCUGCCAUGACAAUAGUUUGUGGGUUCUGCAGCAAUGUCUUUUCGCCUCGCGGUUUUGAGCAGUCAACAGACGUGUUGUCUUGUUGUCUUGCUACUGGCCAUUGUAUGCCUUCCGCGCAUUCUCAACACCUUCCUUUCGGGAAUUACAACGCAGGUGAAACUUCGGCACGGAUGUUGCGCUAAGUGCCGAUCAGCCUCCUGGCCGCUUGGGAGUCGUGGGACUUGAUUUGGUGUUUUCGAUACUCGUGUGAAUUCUCGUGAGCGCUCCUUGCCCAGCCAAGCAUUCGGGAGCCCUGGGAGCCGUGGUGGUUUGUGGCCACCUGGAGCUACACGACCUAUUUUGUAUCUGGGCAAUCCUCGAACCGUUCAAUGCCUUAAUCGGAAUAGAAAGCCGCGGACUCGUGAGCAGCAUGAUCACUUCUGUGUCGUCCCCGUUACGCUGCGAUAGCUUAGCUGCACAGUACUGCUUCAGCUUCUCCGCUGCCGGUUCUCUGCCAACCGCUUACCUGCCGGGCGCUAGCAUCCAGCCCAAGCUGAUUUAGGCUGAUGGUGGCUUGGUACGGGACACUGCCGUUGUCUCGGGCUGGUGCUAUCAAGGCUGUUGGUUGCCCGGGUAGGGUUGCAAGGAAAUGUGUGUACCCCAUUAACGUAACAGUACCGAGGAGGGUAGGAGAAGACAACACGCUGUGGCUGCAAGGCUAGUGACCGGCUAGCUUCUUGGUGUAACAUCGCCUCCUAUUUUGUAACAUCACCUCCGAAUAUUUUGAUGCACCGUACGCGCAUUAUGGUCAGUCCAACCAGACGUACCGGGCUCCGCAGCGCCAGCAUUCCCAGAAGUCGGCGCCACGGCCGAACUCAGCCCGCUACCACCGCUCCAGUUCGCGUUCUCAGUGGCUAACGAGGGCCUGACGUUUCGAUGGCUCGGGUCGACACGUGCAUCCUCAUUAUUCUUUUUCGCUUACUAAUCAGAGUUAACGUGGCGACUGCCGGAAAUAUGCAAUUUUCGCUCCCGGAUUUAUUGUAGUUGGUGGGGGGAAAAAUACAUGACCGUAAGGGAAAAAGAGACUUGCAGCUGCUAAGCCUGCUUUAACGACUGCGCAAGAUUGUAUGAUUCAGAAAAGGUUAAAAUAAAGGACGAUAUGACGAUGGUUUUUUU
Molecule: long non-coding RNA, 1277 nt
Filed under: Volvox carteri
Lineage: Eukaryota; Viridiplantae; Chlorophyta; Chlorophyceae; Chlamydomonadales; Volvocaceae
Description: long non-coding RNA (VCAR_LNC000539)
Source: RNAcentral